GCAGUGUGAAUAUAUUCAGCAGAUGCAAAGCAGUGAGCAUUAAAAGCCAAGUGUGGAAACUACUGACAAGACAUGGACAUUAUAUCCAGCUAUUUCACUGCUCUGAUCAUCCACACAUCCCGCCACAGCACUCAAACUCAUUCAGUGAUCCUGAUGAAACUACCGAAGUGGACAAGAUCAACAUCAUUGUGAAAUGUGCUGGAAAGACCAUGGAAGUGGACAUGUUCCCACUGGAAAGCAUCUUAGUUUUACUAAAGGAGGCCUGUGACUGGGCAGGGAAGAAACCAGAGAAAAUGUCACUGGUUUAUGAAGGAAACUGUCUGGAUGUGAACAAGACAGUGAGCCAGUAUGGACUACGAGGAGGAAUCACCGUACAUUUGAUUCAUGCCUAGAAAAUGAAUUCUCAGGAGAAAGUUUCUAUUUAUAAUACAAGUACACUACAUAAAAUAUUGUUUGAACUCAAUAAUUGUAUUAUUAUUAGUAGUAUUAGUAGUAGUAGUAGUAUUUAGUACUUUAAAGCAGUGUCUUGGUUUAUUGUUAAAAGCACUGCAUUGCCAUGUACAGUCU
RNAcentral lists this long non-coding RNA (567 nucleotides) under Sinocyclocheilus grahami. Its description in RNAcentral is "lncRNA (ENSSGRG00000027547.1)". Lineage: Eukaryota; Metazoa; Chordata; Actinopteri; Cypriniformes; Cyprinidae. The record is from RNAcentral.